Molecule: non-coding RNA, 88 nt
Organism: Aspergillus avenaceus
Lineage: Eukaryota; Fungi; Ascomycota; Eurotiomycetes; Eurotiales; Aspergillaceae
Source: the annotation of a GenBank genome assembly
ACCCGGUUAGCUCAGUCGGAAGAGCAUUAGACUUUUACGAAAGUAAAGAUCUAUCUAAGGGUCGCGAGUUCGAGCCUCGCAUCGGGUG